Molecule: long non-coding RNA, 750 nt
Filed under: Ananas comosus (pineapple)
Lineage: Eukaryota; Viridiplantae; Streptophyta; Magnoliopsida; Poales; Bromeliaceae
Description: long non-coding RNA (ACOM_LNC035560)
Source: RNAcentral
CGGGGGACCGGUCUCUCAGGCAGGGACCGGUUCCCGAAGCCUGCCUUCUCAGGACUUAGCCGAUUUUCAGCUCUCUCAGUUUUCACGCGUUCGGGGACCGGUCUCUCCCUCUAGGGACGGGUUCCUGAGAGCUCAAAAACUGCAGUUUGCAGAUUUUUGAUUCUUUAGCUCUCGAAAACCUCCCAUAACGCACUUUUGAUCAUUUUAACACCUUCGGACUUUUCGAAGUGUACCAUUCUCGCACUUUGGUCAAUUUGACUAAAGUUCGAUAUUUAUUUUUCGAAUUUUCGGUAUAUUACAAACAGCAUUUUCCACAUCUGUGAUACGCAGAGAACAAAGAUGAAGAAAACAGUAAAUUGAGUGGGGGUUUGUUCGCACAUCGCACUAAUGGUGCGUUUGGUUCGCAUUGUAAAAGAUUACUAGGAAUAAAAGAUAUCCGAGAAUCUUAUUACUAUUCAUCCUAUUACUAAAAAUGUGAAAUUCCUGUGUUUGGUUCACACGGUAAUAUUAAUUAGCCAUUUUAUCUAAUAGUACAAAAUUUAUACAAUUAAUUAAUUAAUUUAUUUAUUUAAUUUUAGAUAAUGUUACCAAAAGUUUCAACAUCUUUUUUUUUUUUAAAAAAAGGAGAGAGAAAUAUAAGUUAGGAAGAGAGCAUAAUUAAAAAUAUAAAAAGAAAAAUAUAGUCGAAAUUAGAGGAGUGAGAGAGUUGAAAUUUUAGAAAGAGAGAGAGAGAGAAAGCUUAGUUUAGAG